This 253-nucleotide ribosomal RNA is filed under the name uncultured bacterium. RNAcentral describes it as "partial 16S ribosomal RNA". It matches the Rfam family "Bacterial small subunit ribosomal RNA", at positions 103 to 354 of the family's 1533-position model. The record is from RNAcentral.
CGGGUGAGUAACACGUAUGCAACCUGCCUGCCACAGCCGGAUAAUCGGGAGAAAUUCCGUCUAAUACGGCAUAAUGCAUCGACGGGACAUCCUGUUGGUGCCAAAGGUUGAUUCCGGUGGCGGAUGGGCAUGCGUCGCAUUAGUUAGUUGGCGGUGUAACGGCCCACCAAGGCGACGAUGCGUAGGGGUUCUGAGAGGAAGGUCCCCCACACUGGUACUGAGACACGGACCAGACUCCUACGGGAGGCAGCAG